Long non-coding RNA from Dinoponera quadriceps, 504 nucleotides. RefSeq lists it as uncharacterized. NCBI's taxonomy places the organism in Eukaryota, Metazoa, Arthropoda, Insecta, Hymenoptera, Formicidae. The transcript has 3 exons. The record is from RefSeq and is a predicted model, not a curated record.
GAGGAAGCACUUCCGCGGCAUCUGCUGUUACUCUGGAUGUUCGGAGGAAGUCCAAUCCAAGCGAAAAGCGUCUAUUAUUGCUGUGUGAAGAUCGCCGAUUGCAAAAGAGGCAUCAAAGACCACCACCGAUGCAAAGAUAAUAAAAGCAAUUCUAAAGUAUCUAGACGCAAUUUAUGUCAGUGAAUUUCAUAAUUCCCCCUGAUUUUCGUUGGGUCGAAGGAAGGUAACGAAGAUAACGAAACCUGAAGCAAAAUUGUACAAUAUCUUCUUAAUGUAUGUAUAUUUUGUCAUCUUUAAAAAGAACACCGGAACCGAGGAACGGAAGCCAGUAGUCGUCAGGAACGAUACACGGUGGCGAAAUAAUUACCUUAAAAUCAUAACGGCGUCCACAGUGAAGGGACAAAAUUCCUUUUUGAAAUAAGAAGCCUUCCAAGUGUAAAGAUAUCAGAGAAGAUUCUGAUGUUAUCAGGUAUACACUUGUACACAGAGGUAGAUAAUUACAGA